Molecule: ribosomal RNA, 449 nt
Filed under: uncultured organism
Description: partial 16S ribosomal RNA
Rfam family: Bacterial small subunit ribosomal RNA
Source: RNAcentral
CGUACACUCCUGCGGGAGGCAGCAGUGGGGAAUAUUGGACAAUGGGCGCAAGCCUGAUCCAGCCAUGCCGCGUGAGUGAUGAAGGCCCUAGGGUUGUAAAGCUCUUUCACCGGUGAAGAUAAUGACGGUAACCGGAGAAGAAGCCCCGGCUAACUUCGUGCCAGCAGCCGCGGUAAUACGAAGGGGGCUAGCGUUGUUCGGAUUUACUGGGCGUAAAGCGCACGUAGGCGGACUAUUAAGUCAGGGGUGAAAUCCCGGGGCUCAACCCCAGAACUGCCUUUGAUACUGGUAGUCUUGAGUUCGAGAGAGGUGAGUGGAAUUCCGAGUGUAGAGGUGAAAUUCGUAGAUAUUCGGAGGAACACCAGUGGCGAAGGCGGCUCACUGGCUCGAUACUGACGCUGAGGUGCGAAAGCGUGGGGAGCAAACAGGAUUAGAUACCCCAGUAGUCC